RNAcentral lists this small RNA (123 nucleotides) under Arabidopsis thaliana (thale cress). RNAcentral describes it as "ATSL047310". The record is from RNAcentral. Lineage: Eukaryota; Viridiplantae; Streptophyta; Magnoliopsida; Brassicales; Brassicaceae.
AAUAUUAUUAUAAAAAAGAACAAAAUGAUGUUUAGUUAUUAUGGGAUGGGUUAUUAUUGUGAGAUAGGUUUAGAUGAGACAUGUUUUUAAGACGGGAUGGAUUUAGAUGAGACAGUUUUUUUU